CCCCUCUCAGGAUGGCACCUGGAGAGUUUCCAGUACUCUACCAGUCUCGGAUAUGGGAGGGAGAGUCAAGCAGGGGCCUGUCCAUUCCUUUCUUAGCUUGGGCAGUGGCUGGAGAGUGGCAGGCAAUCUGCUACAGGU
This 138-nucleotide small nucleolar RNA is filed under the name Ornithorhynchus anatinus (platypus). Lineage: Eukaryota; Metazoa; Chordata; Mammalia; Monotremata; Ornithorhynchidae. The record is from RNAcentral.